GCGAGAGUCUAGUGAGAGGCCCCGAGCUAACCAAGGUGAGAGGUAAAGCGCGGAGCGGCUUGGGAUCGCAACUCUCCUGAAGAGAGGACGUUGGAGUUCACUUAAGUUCCUUAUGUCCUCCCCUGAAAUUGCUUCCCUAUCAUGGGGGCAAAUGAAAGUACAAGGCUCUGCUAAAACCUAUAAGGACUGCAAAGUGUGGCCAGGGGGAAGUCGGGCUUGGGAUUGGAGAGAAACAGGAACUGAGCAUUCUCCUGGUGUGCAGCCUGCAGAUGUGGAGGAAGUUGUCAAGAAAGGUGUACAGACCCUUGUGAUUGGCCGAGGGAUGAGUGAGGCCUUGAAGGUGCCGCCGUCGACCGUGGAGUACCUCGAGAAACAAGGCAUUGAUGUGCGGGUCCUCCAGACAGAGCAGGCAGUGAAGGAGUAUAAUGCCUUGGCUGCCCAAGGCAUCAGAGUGGGAGGGGUCUUCCAUUCCACGUGCUGAUGGAGCCUUAAGAAUAAAUCACCAAGCAAAAGUGCCUUUGACUAUCACUCUUCGCACUCUCCACACGGGCCUCCCCAAGCAUUUUUCAACAGCUGUUCAUGCCAGGUCCUGUGCUAGGUUUUGGGAUGCAUGGAUGACUAAGACCAGGUCCCUCUCUGAGGUGAACUGAAAAUCCGGAGAGAAGACAGAUGCUAUUUCAGGUAUGUGGUCAGGAAAAGCCCUGUGCAGGUGGCAUAUGAGCAGACCCCCGGGUGAAGUGACAGAGCCCUCCAGUUACAGCACAGGAGGAGCUCCGCCAUGAUACUUGGGUAAGUAUACUUGGGUAUAGUAGAACAGGCAAGCUGUUCUACUAGCUAAACCUGAGCCUGGCUGGAUAGUUCCCUUUGGGCUGCAGAUUCUCUAGCUAUAAAAUGAUGGGGCUGGACUAGUUGCUCUGUAACCGCUGUGAAUAGUCUUUGUUCCUUUAAAUACCAAGUAUCUUUUGUGAAGGAUUAGAAGACAGAACUAUGAUAAAUUAUCAACAUCACCUUACUUUUCAUUCCUCCCCCUCUUUAAGGAGUUAGAGGAGUAUGGGCUUUGGUGUCAAAUAGCCUUGACUUUGAACUGUGGCUUUCUGCCACUUGCUGGUUGGGGAUUUAUUUAAUCUUUUAGAGUUGCACUGUUCUCAUCUGUCAGAUUGGGAUAAUAAUUAGUACCUGGAGUUAUUUUGUAGGUAUCAAAUGGGGGUGAUUCAUACAAUGUCUUAGCACACUGCUUUGCAUGUAGUAAGGACUCAAUAAACUGAAGCCAUUGUUAUCAUUAUAUUUUGAUUAAUGGGUCUGCUCUGUGUCAAUUAGUUUCAUUUAUGGUUCGUAAUACAGCAGCCUAUUUCAUAGGCUCAUAGAAUGCUGGAGCCCAAAGGAACUAUCGACUAUUC
Enhydra lutris kenyoni (northern sea otter) is the source of this 1397-nucleotide RNA transcript. It is a transcript of the gene named adipogenesis associated Mth938 domain containing, with no coding region annotated. The record is from RefSeq and is a predicted model, not a curated record. NCBI's taxonomy places the organism in Eukaryota, Metazoa, Chordata, Mammalia, Carnivora, Mustelidae. The transcript has 5 exons.